CCACCUGUCGGGCGGCUCCGCGCGCGGCCGACGGCGGACGCCCCGCCCGGCUCCUGACGAGCGGCCGGCGAGGGCAGCCCGAGGUCCCGGGGGGAUGAGAGCUUUACCGGAGGACCCUCUGCUAUGCGCUGGGGAUACCUUAGUCACGAGAGAGGUCGACGAUCAAAUCAUCACCCUCAACCUGGAAUAAAAGCAACGGGAACUUUGAACAAGGAGGCCUGAUGUGCUCUGGGUGGUGGAGAGUCAAAGAAAGGGAAACGUUCUCGAGAAAAAGCAAAAGUGGAAGUGAAAUGUGGCUGACCUCAGUGCGUGCUGGCUUGGAAGACCGAGGAAUCUCUGCUACAUCCAAGUGCCCAUUCUACCAAGACACCCCACAAGCCUGUUUCCACUGCCGUGAUGGUACAGGAGAAUCUAGAUCUCCUCUGAGAAAUCCCCUUCCUUGUGCUUCAAGAAUAUGCAGAAACAAAAAAUCUUCCCAAGUCCACCAGGACUGUCACACCACAUUAAGGUCCUUGAGUUCAGAAAUGACUUUUUUUUUUAAUUUUGCAAUUUCCUAUGGUUCCUCAUAGAGUUCUGCACAAGGCUGAGAGAACACUGGGGAGUUUUGAAUGCUGAAGCUCUGAAGCCAUUGGAAAGAGUUCAGGAUGAGUUGAAAAGGAGCAUUCCAAACAGGUCUAAGCAUAAAGUAGGAGUUUGAUUAAUCCGUGAUUGGUAACACUUAGGAAUUAGAACAAUAUCAAAUUGUAAAAAAGUUAGUUUCUUCAAACUUGCUCUUUAUAUAUUGACAUUAAAUAUAAAACCCUAUAAUGUGGAUGUAUUCAGUUGCCUUAACAGAAAUGUGUAGCAAUAACAAAAAAUGUUACCUUGAAUUCCCUGAUGCCCACUUUUGUCAAGAGCUCCAAUGCAAGAAACAAUAUUUGUGGACCUUUGUCCGAAGAUAGAUACUUCAUCCACUCCUCUGGUUACUUAAAAUGUUAUCCUUGGAUCAAGCCAAAUCGCUGGACCAACACCCCAGUGUUUUGGCCCUUCACGCAGUUGUUUUUUAUUAUGUAGCAAAAAACUGAAUUUUUUCUUAGCUGACUGCCUGUCCAAUUACAGAGGCACCACCCCCUGGUGUUAGCACAUCUGAAUUGCAGGUUUAGCUCUUGAGAGGAAAAAAUAAACCUUUGGAAAAUUGAACCUGAAAUCCAAACAUAAGAAAUCAGGACAAAUUUUAUAUCUUCUUACAAUGAGAAUAGAAAGCCAGUUCUCUCUGCAGGAAAUGGUAGACUCUCUUUGCCCAGUCAGUGCGCAUGGCCAUAAUUCAUUGAUCUGAAGGGUUCUGAAGCAGGGGGCCACAGUUCAUGUGGCACAGCCAGCUGCUUAUUUGGCAGCCGUCCCCUGGUGGGGCAUUCCUUUCUUGAGCAUUCACUAUCCAGACCUCUCCCCCUUCUCUUCACCAAUCCUGACACCAUCUCUCCAGUCGCAGCUCCAAAUGCCCCAGCUCUGGGCAGCCAGCCCUGCUUCCGUGUUCUUCCCUCCAGGCCUGUUUGAACACCUGCCCGUAAAGUGUGCCUCAUCAGAGGCAGCAGUCCUUCCCCUCGAUUCAAGUCAAGAUGGAAGGAAGUCCGUACACCACUUCUCCUUCCGAAACAGCUUUUGCUGCUUCCCUUGGGGACUUCUGACAGUUCUGUUAGUAUCGAAACCUUUUGCUAAGAAUUUAAAGCCAAAUGUCCUAAAUAACUAUGUAAAUUUGAUUACGGACAUAACAAAUACAUAAAUAUGCA
Molecule: long non-coding RNA, 1766 nt
Organism: Equus quagga
Lineage: Eukaryota; Metazoa; Chordata; Mammalia; Perissodactyla; Equidae
Exons: 3
Source: RefSeq, a predicted model, not a curated record